Molecule: ribosomal RNA, 2091 nt
Filed under: Staphylococcus sp. MDS7B
Lineage: Bacteria; Bacillati; Bacillota; Bacilli; Caryophanales; Staphylococcaceae
Description: bacterial LSU rRNA
Rfam family: Bacterial large subunit ribosomal RNA
Source: RNAcentral
UUAAGUUAUUAAGGGCGCACGGUGGAUGCCUUGGCACUAGAAGCCGAUGAAGGACGUUACUAACGACGAUAUGCUUUGGGUAGCUGUAAGUAAGCGUUGAUCCAGAGAUUUCCGAAUGGGGGAACCCAGCAUGAGUUAUGUCAUGUUAUCGACAUGUGAAUUCAUAGCAUGUCAGAAGGCAGACCCGGAGAACUGAAACAUCUUAGUACCCGGAGGAAGAGAAAGAAAAAUCGAUUCCCUGAGUAGCGGCGAGCGAAACGGGAAGAGCCCAAACCAACAAGCUUGCUUGUUGGGGUUGUAGGACACUCUAUACGGAGUUACAAAAGAACAUGUUAGACGAAUCAUCUGGAAAGAUGAAUCAAAGAAGGUAAUAAUCCUGUAGUCGAAAACAUAUUCUCUCUUGAGUGGAUCCUGAGUACGACGGAGCACGUGAAAUUCCGUCGGAAUCUGGGAGGACCAUCUCCUAAGGCUAAAUACUCUCUAGUGACCGAUAGUGAACCAGUACCGUGAGGGAAAGGUGAAAAGUACCCCGGAAGGGGAGUGAAAGAGAACUUGAAACCGUGUGCUUACAAGUAGUCAGAGCCCGUUAAUGGGUGAUGGCGUGCCUUUUGUAGAAUGAACCGGCGAGUUACGAUCUGAUGCAAGGUUAAGCAGCAAAUGUGGAGCCGCAGCGAAAGCGAGUCUGAAUAGGGCGUUGAGUAUUUGGUCGUAGACCCGAAACCAGGUGAUCUACCCUUGGUCAGGUUGAAGUUCAGGUAACACUGAAUGGAGGACCGAACCGACUUACGUUGAAAAGUGAGCGGAUGAACUGAGGGUAGCGGAGAAAUUCCAAUCGAACUUGGAGAUAGCUGGUUCUCUCCGAAAUAGCUUUAGGGCUAGCCUCAAGUGAUGAUUAUUGGAGGUAGAGCACUGUUUGGACGAGGGGCCCCUCUCGGGUUACCGAAUUCAGACAAACUCCGAAUGCCAAUUAAUUUAACUUGGGAGUCAGAACAUGGGUGAUAAGGUCCGUGUUCGAAAGGGAAACAGCCCAGACCACCAGCUAAGGUCCCAAAAUAUAUGUUAAGUGGAAAAGGAUGUGGCGUUGCCCAGACAACUAGGAUGUUGGCUUAGAAGCAGCCAUCAUUUAAAGAGUGCGUAAUAGCUCACUAGUCGAGUGACACUGCGCCGAAAAUGUACCGGGGCUAAACAUAUUACCGAAGCUGUGGAUUGUCCUUUGGACAAUGGUAGGAGAGCGUUCUAAGGGCGUCGAAGCAUGAUCGCAAGGACAUGUGGAGCGCUUAGAAGUGAGAAUGCCGGUGUGAGUAGCGAAAGACGGGUGAGAAUCCCGUCCACCGAUUGACUAAGGUUUCCAGAGGAAGGCUCGUCCGCUCUGGGUUAGUCGGGUCCUAAGCUGAGGCCGACAGGCGUAGGCGAUGGAUAACAGGUUGAUAUUCCUGUACCACCUAGUAUCGUUUUAAUCGAUGGGGGGACGCAGUAGGAUAGGCGAAGCGUGCUGUUGGAGUGCACGUCCAAGCAGUAAGGCUGAGUGUUAGGCAAAUCCGGCACUCAUAAGGCUGAGCUGUGAUGGGGAGAGGAAAUUGUUUCCUCGAGUCGUUGAUUUCACACUGCCGAGAAAAGCCUCUAGAUAGAUAACAGGUGCCCGUACCGCAAACCGACACAGGUAGUCAAGAUGAGAAUUCUAAGGUGAGCGAGCGAACUCUCGUUAAGGAACUCGGCAAAAUGACCCCGUAACUUCGGGAGAAGGGGUGCUCUUUAGGGUUCACGCCCAGAAGAGCCGCAGUGAAUAGGCCCAAGCGACUGUUUAUCAAAAACACAGGUCUCUGCUAAACCGUAAGGUGAUGUAUAGGGGCUGACGCCUGCCCGGUGCUGGAAGGUUAAGAGGAGUGGUUAGCUUCUGCGAAGCUACGAAUCGAAGCCCCAGUAAACGGCGGCCGUAACUAUAACGGUCCUAAGGUAGCGAAAUUCCUUGUCGGGUAAGUUCCGACCCGCACGAAAGGCGUAACGAUUUGGCACUGUCUCAACGAGAGACUCGGUGAAAUCAUAGUACCUGUGAAGAUGCAGGUUACCCGCGACAGGACGGAAAGACCCCGU